CGGGGCGUGGCGCAGUCUGGUAGCGCGCACGGCUGGGGGCCGUGAGGUCGCUGGUUCAAGUCCAGUCGCCCCGACCA
This 77-nucleotide transfer RNA is filed under the name Candidatus Saccharibacteria bacterium 32-50-10. Its description in RNAcentral is "tRNA-Pro". It matches the Rfam family "tRNA". From Rfam's summary of the family: Transfer RNA (tRNA) molecules are approximately 80 nucleotides in length. Lineage: Bacteria; Candidatus Saccharimonadota. RNAcentral also lists the same sequence under 1 other name. The record is from RNAcentral.